AUUCAAAUGGCAACUCCAAAGCUUUUUGCAGUGUUCAUCGCAGUCAUGUUCUUGUGUUCUUGUUUCGUUGCAUCAACUGAAGGGAAAGGUUUGUGGAGCUGCAUUCGUCCAUGUGCCAAAGAUGAACUGAAUUAUGUCUGUAAGUUGGAUUGCCUCCAUCAACAUCGAGGCACUGGAUCUUGUAUGCCUAAACGAGAUGAUAGUGAUGAACUUGUGUGUUGUUGUGAUCGUUGAUGCGCAAAAAAGAACGAGUCAUCUCAAACUGAUGUUACUGGAAUAAAAUGAUAACGGGUUACGUAUCAUAUUAA
This is a long non-coding RNA of Cucurbita maxima (winter squash), 308 nucleotides long. RefSeq lists it as uncharacterized. Lineage: Eukaryota; Viridiplantae; Streptophyta; Magnoliopsida; Cucurbitales; Cucurbitaceae. The record is from RefSeq and is a predicted model, not a curated record. The transcript is spliced from 2 exons.